Molecule: ribosomal RNA, 839 nt
Filed under: uncultured bacterium
Lineage: Bacteria
Description: bacterial SSU rRNA
Rfam family: Bacterial small subunit ribosomal RNA
Source: RNAcentral
AACGAACGCUGGCGGCAGGCUUAACACAUGCAAGUCGAACGCCCCGCAAGGGGAGUGGCAGACGGGUGAGUAACGCGUGGGAAUCUACCCAGUUCUACGGAACAACACAGGGAAACUUGUGCUAAUACCGUAUACGCCCUACGGGGGAAAGAUUUAUCGGAAUUGGAUGAGCCCGCGUUGGAUUAGCUAGUUGGUGAGGUAACGGCUCACCAAGGCGACGAUCCAUAGCUGGUCUGAGAGGAUGAUCAGCCACACUGGGACUGAGACACGGCCCAGACUCCUACGGGAGGCAGCAGUGGGGAAUAUUGGACAAUGGGCGCAAGCCUGAUCCAGCCAUGCCGCGUGAGUGAUGAAGGCCUUAGGGUUGUAAAGCUCUUUCAGUGGGGAAGAUAAUGACGGUACCCACAGAAGAAGCCCCGGCUAACUUCGUGCCAGCAGCCGCGGUAAUACGAAGGGGGCUAGCGUUGUUCGGAUUUACUGGGCGUAAAGCGCACGUAGGCGGAUCGUUAAGUCGGGGGUGAAAUCCUGGAGCUCAACUCCAGAACUGCCUUCGAUACUGGCGAUCUUGAGUCCGGAAGAGGUGAGUGGAACUCCUAGUGUAGAGGUGGAAUUCGUAGAUAUUAGGAAGAACACCAGUGGCGAAGGCGGCUCACUGGUCCGGUACUGACGCUGAUGUGCGAAAGCGUGGGGAGCAAACAGGAUUAGAUACCCUGGUAGUCCACGCCGUAAACUAUGAGAGCUAGCCGUUGGAGGAUUUAUCCUUCAGUGGCGCAGCUAACGCAUUAAGCUCUCCGCCUGGGGAGUACGGUCGCAAGAUUAAAACUCAAGGAAUUGACGGG